This 301-nucleotide ribosomal RNA is filed under the name uncultured bacterium. RNAcentral's name for it is "partial 16S ribosomal RNA". It matches the Rfam family "Bacterial small subunit ribosomal RNA", at positions 509 to 807 of the family's 1533-position model. The record is from RNAcentral.
CAGUAGCCGCGGUAAUACGAAGGGGGCUAGCGUUGUUCGGAAUUACUGGGCGUAAAGCGCGCGUAGGCGGUUACUCAAGUCAGAGGUGGAAGCCCGGGGCUCAACCCCGGAACUGCCUUUGAAACUAGGUGACUAGAAUCUUGGAGAGGUCAGUGGAAUUCCGAGUGUAGAGGUGAAAUUCGUAGAUAUUCGGAGGAACACCAGUGGCGAAGGCGGCUCACUGGUCCAUUACUGACGCUGAGGUGCGAAAGCGUGGGGAGCAAACAGGAUUAGAUACCCGGGUAGUCCCUGUCUCUUAUAC